This 667-nucleotide ribosomal RNA is filed under the name uncultured bacterium. Its description in RNAcentral is "bacterial SSU rRNA". It matches the Rfam family "Bacterial small subunit ribosomal RNA", at positions 76 to 760 of the family's 1533-position model. The record is from RNAcentral.
GUAGCAAUACACGGUGGCGACCGGCGCACGGGUGCGUAACGCGUAUGCACCUACCCAUAACAGGGGGAUAACACUGAGAAAUUGGUACUAAUACCCCAUAACCCGGCAUCGGGAAAACUCCGGUGGUUAUGGAUGGGCAUGCGUUGUAUUAGCCGGUUGGUGAGGUAACGGCUCACCAAGGCAACGAUACAUAGGGGGACUGAGAGGUUAACCCCCACAUUGGUACUGAGACACGGACCAAACUCAUACGGGAGGCAGCAGUGAGGAAUAUUGGUCAAUGGACGCAAGUCUGAACCAGCCAUGCCGCGUGCAGGAAGACGGCUUAUGAGUUGUAAACUGCUUUUGUACGAGGGUAACGCUCUUACGUGUAAGAGCCUGAAAGUAUCGUACGAAUAAGGAUCGGCUAACUCCGUGCCAGCAGCCGCGGUAAUACGGAGGAUCCAAGCGUUAUCCGGAUUUAUUGGGUUUAAAGGGUGCGUAGGCGGUUUGAUAAGUUAGAGGUGAAAUACCGGUGCUUAACACCGGAACUGCCUCUAAUACUGUUGAACUAGAGAGUAGUUGCGGUAGGCGGAAUGUAUGGUGUAGCGGUGAAAUGCUUAGAGAUCAUACAGAACACCGAUUGCGAAGGCAGCUUACCAAACUAUAUCUGACGUUGAGGCACGAAAGC